Molecule: long non-coding RNA, 955 nt
Filed under: Vulpes vulpes (red fox)
Lineage: Eukaryota; Metazoa; Chordata; Mammalia; Carnivora; Canidae
Description: lncRNA (ENSVVUG00000005025.1)
Source: RNAcentral
GAGGUUCCCAACGUCUUGCCUUAUGUGUGGCUGGAAGACAGACUCUAUCCAGCAGAGGCAGGUGGCCCAGAUGAAGAGAAUUUGAGGAACAGGGCCCUGAGGAGUGAGCAGGCCCUGAUGCUGGGAGUGAGAAGAGCCCACCUGGCUCAGAGGAUUGAAGACCUGGAAUGGGAGCUGUCCCUGCUCCUCCAGGUGACAGAUGGCAGUGUGCGUGCAGGAGGGGACUGGCCCAGCCUGGGGAGACACUGAGUCACACAGGAUGCUGUGGUGGCCACCUGUAGGAGUGUCUUCUCCACAGAGAACACAACCAGAGCCUGGACUUGUACAGAUUUCUGCCUGGGAUCCUUUGGGGUGAGGAAAAAUAAAGUUGUAGAGUUUGAGAAAAUUGACCUGUGUUCCCAUCACUGAAUCUAUCCCUCCUCAUUCUCUCUUGAGGGUACUGACCACUGAGUGCUGCAGUCCAGGCCAAAUGCCCCCAACAGUUUUACUGCGGUGCCCAGCUUCAGGGGUGACAAGUGCUCGGGAUGGGGAGUAUGAGAACUUAGAUGAAGUUGUAGCACAGAGCUUCCACACCCAUCUUCCAUCAUUCUGGAGUCAUCAUGGGGAUCCCCAGUGGGCUGCAUGUCCUGCCCAGUUCCAGUGACCUCCUGGAGCACAGAAAUGAGGAAGAAGCUUGAAGGGCCUGUGCUGCACAAGACAAUGACGCUCCAACACGGUCAAUGUGCAAAUGAGAGAGGCAUCUGCAUUCGUGCACAAGUGAAGCUGGAACCAAAUGAAAGCUCCCUGCAGUCUGAGAACUGUAGAUUCCUCUUCUGCAGCAAAAAGCCAAGAGCUGCAGCCUGAGAUUGUACCCUGCUUACUGCCAGCUGUGCCACCUCCUGGUGAAGCAACAAUGAGCAAGCUGCUUAAACUCUGUACUUCAGGUUUCUUGUCAAUAAAACAAAGGUGAUCAGCA